AUGCGGAUCUCGAAAGCCUGUCCCAGUUCGGACUGGAGUCUGCAACCCGACUCCACGAAGUUGGAUUCGCUAGUAAUCGCGCAUCAGCCAUGGCGCGGUGAAUACGUUCCCGGGCCUUGUACACACCGCCCGUCAAGCCAUGGGAGCCGGGGGCGCCUGAAGUCCGGGACCGCGAGGACCGGCCUAGGGCGAAACUGGUAACUGGGGCUAAGUCGUAACAAGGUACC
This 227-nucleotide ribosomal RNA is filed under the name uncultured bacterium. Its description in RNAcentral is "partial 16S ribosomal RNA". It matches the Rfam family "Bacterial small subunit ribosomal RNA", at positions 1265 to 1500 of the family's 1533-position model. The record is from RNAcentral.